UGUAAUUUCAUUGACCAUGCCAGUGGGUUCAACAUUAGAUGUUUAUUUGAAUUUAUCACAGAUAACAUUAAUAUACGUUUGAAAAAAGUUUAAUUUUGAAUUAGGUUAGGUCCAUCAUUUUAUUGGCUUACGACACUCACGUGGUCCAAGAUCAGCGCGUGCGUGAGAACCGGAACGCGCAACGUGGGAAUGACGUUGCCGGCUUGGCGCCACAAUUGACUGCAUUCGAACUUCAAGCUGUCGGCAGUAAUCAGCACCAUCGGUUUCACGGUGGCUGGCUGCAAAAUGAUUUGGCAGUAAAGAGGAUACAGACAGCAUUUGACCUGCGGCAACAGACCAUAGUGAAGACAUGCCCACCAGUGAAAAACCUUAUGGAACUCUGGCCUGCACUCAAAUAGAGUCUGAGGUGUAUUUAGACUUCCAACAAAUUACAAUACAGAACCUGCCCAACAUAUUCUGCUCUGAGCUUGACCGACAUCUUCUUUCUGAAAAAAGUCAUCAGUCUAGAAAGACAACCAAAAUUGGGAAGACAUCAAAUGCUUUGACUGAAAUCCUAAGAAUCUACGAUUAACAGGAGGUACGUGACAUACACACCAAGUGUAUCACUGCUCUUCAUCUCCUUCCAGUCUAUCAACAUGAGGACGUCUCAGGGUUCUUCAGGACCUGCACAGACACAUCUGAUGAGCCAGAGCUUUAAGAUGUUGUAAAGGCCCUCCUUACAGUCAUCAUAGAUGACGACACAAGUCCAGUUCACUUCCAGCCUGAGAAAAUCUGUCAUCGUUGAAAGCGAGAUUUGGUCAACCUCUACAGAUUUACUGAUGCCUUUCUGGUAAUGUUUGGACUGAUCUAUGCACUACACCUCAGCUAUCCCAGGCGACUGACAACACACUUGAAUUCACUCAAAUGUUACUUUGCCUUGAUGAUGGAAAAGUGUCAUCCAAGUAACAGAGUCUCAAAAAGGACUUGAUGUGUAUGUAGAAAUGUAUCUAAAAAUGUGUUUUCUUCACAAUAUGCACAAUGUGCCUUUGUAUUUUCAAACGGUAUUUGUGACUUGAAUUGUUGUCUGUGUUGGUCUUUUAAAUUGACACUGCCAUUUUAAAUGGAAAGGGCAAAAAUUUUGUGAAACACAAUGUAAUUCAAACUGUUUAAGUUGUCUGUACUCAAAAUAUUUGAGGCAACGAGUUGCCUCAAAAAAAUUAAGUUUUGAGCCAUGUGAUUUUAAGUUUUGUGUGUCAAAGGUUUUGAGUAAUGUGUAAUUAAAAAAAACUGAACAAAAAUAAAAACAUUGAGUUUACAUAACUUAAAAGUGCUUCUUUGUGUACUUAUUUUUUUUUAGUAAUGUUAACUUAAUGCCAUGAGUCAAUGUAACUGAAAAUUAUUGAGUAGACUUUAAUAAGAACUUUUAAUUUAAUUAUAAUCAAAAGGUUUAUGUUACAAGUAAUCAAAAUAUUU
Paramisgurnus dabryanus is the source of this 1452-nucleotide non-coding RNA. The record is from RefSeq and is a predicted model, not a curated record. NCBI's taxonomy places the organism in Eukaryota, Metazoa, Chordata, Actinopteri, Cypriniformes, Cobitidae.